UACGUAGGGAGCAAGCGUUGUCCGGAUUUAUUGGGCGUAAAGGGUGCGUAGGUGGCUUGGUAAGUCAGUGGUGAAAGCCCGGAGCUCAACUCCGGAACUGCCAUUGAUACUGCUUAGCUUGAAUCAGGUCGAGGUGGAUGGAAUAUUACAUGUAGCGGUGAAAUGCUUAGAUAUGUAAUAGAACACCGAUUGCGAAGGCAGUUCACUAGGCCUGUAUUGACACUGAGGCACGAAAGCGUGGGGAUCAAACAAG
RNAcentral lists this ribosomal RNA (253 nucleotides) under uncultured bacterium. RNAcentral describes it as "partial 16S ribosomal RNA". It matches the Rfam family "Bacterial small subunit ribosomal RNA", at positions 524 to 776 of the family's 1533-position model. The record is from RNAcentral.